AAUAAAAUCUCUACUGCGUUUGGUUGGAGAACUAAGUUUUGUAGAACAACUUUUGUUGUUUUCGAAAAUGUUGGAUAUUUCGGUACAAGAUAGAACAAUUGUAAAUUUGUGUUUGGAUGCAUUCGGAAAUAUUCUAGAGGAUAUUCUUAUUAGCAGUUUGAAUAAAAAGUCUAGAAGAAUGUCUAAAUAUAUUUUUAAAAAUAAAAUAAUUAAUUUAUAUUAGUAUAUUUUAUAUAAAAUUAUUCCUGCGUACAGUAAUUUAUAAUAUAAUAUUUUAUGUAAUAAUUUAAUUUAAAAUAGUAUAUUUAUUUGAUUAUAUAUAAUAAUUUAUUUUAUGUAAUAAUUUAUUUUAUAUAAUUUAUUUAUAAUAUAUGUAAUGAAUAAAGUAUAAUACUAACAAUAUCCUUAUAAUUUUAAUUAAUAAUNUUAAUACUUAAUAUAAAAUAAAAUAAUAAAAUAUUAGAAUAUAAAUGAUAAAACUUAAUAAAAUAAAUAAUAUAUCAAAUUUAAUUAAUUUAUAUUAUAUUAAAAAAUUUAAGUAUAAAUAUAUUAUCAUUAAAAUAAUAUUUAUAUUAAUAUAUUUAUUUAUAUAUCUAUUUAUCAAAUAAAAUAAAGAGAAGAACAAAAUUGUUCUCAGUUCCCCUAGAAGUAAUUUUUAACGGGUUGUUUCAGAACAAUCUAGAACAACCCGCUAUAAUCAGAACAACACGUUCCCCCUAAUUAUGCUGGUGUUCGGCUAUAAAUUGGGAGAUAUUCUCUUCUGUUUCGGAAUAUCUCUCAUGCCA
This 785-nucleotide long non-coding RNA is filed under the name Ananas comosus (pineapple). Its description in RNAcentral is "long non-coding RNA (ACOM_LNC002244)". Lineage: Eukaryota; Viridiplantae; Streptophyta; Magnoliopsida; Poales; Bromeliaceae. The record is from RNAcentral.